CCUUGAGCAUGGACAGCCUGGAUCUGCUGGCAAAGAGCUCCUGGGAAGGUGCUGCUGGAUGCAGUUUGCAACCACCUCAACCUCGUGGAAGGUGACUAUUUUGGCCUCGAGUUUCCUGAUCACAAAAAGAUCACGGUGUGGCUGGAUCUCCUAAAACCCAUUGUGAAACAGAUCAGAAGGCCAAAGCAUGUUGUUGUUAAGUUUGUGGUGAAAUUCUUUCCGCCUGACCACACACAACUCCAAGAAGAACUCACAAGGUACCUGUUCGCGCUGCAGGUGAAGCAGGACUUGGCUCAAGGCAGGUUGACGUGUAACGACACCAGCGCAGCUCUCUUGAUUUCACACAUUGUGCAAUAAGGACAAGCUGAUGAAGAGGAGAAUCAGCUACUAGUUGGCCCUGAUGUAAAGAUCGCACAUGGGCAGCAAGGAGGCGAGGCAGGGCUGCGUUUGUGCAGAUUGUAUGGUCCCUGCUCUGAGGGUUCCGCGUGAAAUUUAAGGAGCAACCUAUUUCCAAUUUCAAAGAGGAGAAAUGUGGGGAGCGAACGAGUUUCAUAGUCAUGUCACUAUGGCGUGACAGGAGGGCAAGAAAAGACAAGCGACCCAGAAGAAAAGAGAAUUAGAUGUCUCCACCCCAAUGCCAAAGGAAAAACUGGACCAUUCGGCUCUCUUUAUAUGGAAUGAUGGGAAAGAGUGUGUUCUAAGAUUCAUAGGAAUUAAGAAGCCCAAACAUAAAGCUCACAAGACAUUU
RNAcentral lists this small RNA (748 nucleotides) under Pongo abelii (Sumatran orangutan). RNAcentral's name for it is "processed transcript". The record is from RNAcentral. Lineage: Eukaryota; Metazoa; Chordata; Mammalia; Primates; Hominidae.